This 208-nucleotide long non-coding RNA is filed under the name Elaeis guineensis (African oil palm). RNAcentral's name for it is "long non-coding RNA (EGUI_LNC076652)". Lineage: Eukaryota; Viridiplantae; Streptophyta; Magnoliopsida; Arecales; Arecaceae. The record is from RNAcentral.
GCUUUCAGUCAGACCAUGCUGAUAGUAAGAGUGUGUCAGAUUAUAUUUUUAUUCUAAAUAAUGGAGCAAUCUGCUGAAAAAAUUUCAAGCAGAAUACUAUGGCAGACUCUAUUUAUGAAGCGGAGUAUAUCGCAGCAUCUGAUGCUGCGAAGGAAGCUGUAUAGUUGAGGAUGUUCAUCGAUGAUUGGAGUGGCACCCUCUAUUGAUG